AUUUAAGUAGCUUAAGUUUAGAGCAUAAUAUUGAAGAUAUUAAGGUAAAUAUUUUUUUAAAUA
RNAcentral lists this transfer RNA (63 nucleotides) under Xenos yangi. Its description in RNAcentral is "tRNA-Phe". Lineage: Eukaryota; Metazoa; Arthropoda; Insecta; Strepsiptera; Xenidae. The record is from RNAcentral.